UUGUUGACUAGCUCGAGUACUGCAUAUUGUGAGCUGCCGAUUUAAUAAGACAAAUUAUCAAUAUAAACACAUUAUACAAUAUGAAUUCAAAUUAUAACUUGUACCGGUACUAGAAAAAUAAUCUGAUGUGAACCUUUUACAAACUAUAUUUGUCAAUGCGAGCGAAACUCUAGUGUUGGACCUCACUUAGGGAAAUGAGAAAAAGAAAACAUAAUUUUGUUUGUAAAUGUGUAAGUAAAAAAGAAAUCUUAUCAUUAGGACAAGGAUUUGUAUAGUAAGAUGCUACUAUACAAAUCCUUGAUUAGGACUACAGCUAUAAAAUAUUUGGUACAAAAGUCAAAAUAUGAUUACGUUUAUAUAGACAUUGCACCUACAUAAAAAUUAAUUUAAUAUCCAAAUGCAAAAUUAUGCAAAUCUUUGUUCUUUAAAAAAAUACAAUAUUUAAAGUUCAGGCUAGAACUAAAUACAUUAAGAUGUCACUUAACAAUCCCAAUUUUUUGGUGCUAAAAUUCCUACGCCUACAUGUACAUGUAUUACACAUACGCAAGAAGACAAUCAAUUCCUGUUAUACUUUUAUGCCUAGGGAAUUAUUACAUACAAUAUACAUGAAUACAACUCAAAAGCAUAAACAUAUACACAUAAAGAAAUUCAUUAUAAUGAUAAUUAAUUUUGGCCAACUAAAUUAGAGUCAACUCAAAUAUGCAUUUUGCAGUGCAGACAGACUGGAAACCAGCAUUUAAUCAAAGGAGAAGGCUCACGAAGGCUUAAAUUGGCCCUGAAUUUGUUUGUUAAAUCGGGCCAAAAUAUUACAAAUUUCACAUAGAAAUACUUGUGAUAAUACUAUCCAGACAAAAAUAUUUUGUCAAGCACUUUUCUUUACAAUUUAUGGACCUAUGACCUCUUAAAUAAACAUAAUUUUGGUACUUUUUUCUAUAAUUUUUAAUUGUUUUUGGCAUAAUUAACCUUGGCUGCCAUCUACGAUCCAAAAAGUUUUUAUAUUGAUGAAAUCUAUAUCAAAAUUGGAAUCUUUUGGUUACAACACAUUUUGAAUCAUAGGUGGCAGCCAAAGUGUUUUUAAAGUUUUUAGGUCUGAAAAAUGCACAAACUCAUCAUAUUUUGACAAAAUCUCCAAAAUGGGCUUACUUUGGAAGAAUAUUAUGUUCUCUUAUGAAAAAAAACUGAUAUAUUUAGCAUUUAGACUUUUGAAAUAGACCCAUUUACGAACCAAAUUGAGACCUUUGUGGUGUUUUAUGAUAAAGUUGAUAUUUUAGGCCAUUUUGUGCCAUAAGUGAACCUUGUUCUUUGUAAUGCAAUACAAUACAAUAAUCUCAUAUACAUAUGCAAACAUCAUAUAACACAGUAAUAGUAUAUAUAUACUAGUUAGUAGUUUACACACAGCUUGGUGAACAAACAAAAUAUACUUCCAGCAACAAUAGUAUAAAUUUAUUAACAUUCAAGAAUAUUCCAAAUGUUAAAUAUCAUAUUUUGAAUACCCGUCAUAAACAGACACUCGCCGCCCAGGAAAAACCAAAUAGUUUGGAAACCUGCGUCACGGAGCAAUGCAAGAACCGUCUCUGGGUAAUGAUGCCGUACUCCAUCAUGAUUAUAAUUAUACAAAAAGAAAAAUUUUUAUACAUAAAAGGAAGUUUUAACUGUACGAUGUCUACGGCUAGAAUGACCACCUAGACAAUUUUUUCACAAACCAGUGAAAAACAAAUUAGCAUAACAAAACAUUAGGUCACCUGACAGAUCAAAUCAUACAUCAUUGACACAUACAAAAUAUGAUAGAAACUUUAAGACAGUAUUUUUUCGCUAUACUGCGAAACGCUGAAAAGUAUAUAAUUACUUGUAAACUGUAUUUAAAACGAGAUUAAAUGAAUAUUACUAGUGGAAAAAUGUUGGAAACCUGCUUUGAAACUAAUUGCUUGGAAGAACUGUUAGGAGGUAUACUUUGGACAAUAUAAAAAAAACUUUGGACAAUAUAAAAAAAAUAGAGGCUCUAAAGAGCCUGUGUCGCUCACCUUGGUAUAUGUGAAUAUCAAACAAAGGACGCAGAUAGAUUCAUGACAAAAUUGUGUUUUGGUGAUGGUGAUGUGUUUGUACAUCUUACUUUACUGAACAUUCUUGCUGCUUACAAUUAUCCUUUUAGGAAAGGUUAGCUAAAAAGGAGAAAAUCAAAACAAAAUACACGAUCAUGUUGAAAUAUAUAAUUUAGAGUAUAUAAGAAACUUGACACCCUGGGUAGCGCUAUAUAGAAAGUGAAGGUUUUCAAAAUAUUUUCAACCAUAAUUCUUUGAAACACAAGCAAAAUUUAAUUAUAAUACAUCAUGCUACAAAAUACCUAAAUAACUAAUCUGCUUCUGCUAUAUUAAAAAAUAUCAAAAUGAAACUACAUUUUUUGCCACUGUAGUAUAUCAUCUUACAAUUAAUUUAGGAAGAAAAGGAUUUAAUUACACCAAGGAUAAGGUCACUUAGGUAUUAUUAGGAAAAUAUUAGUUGUACAAAAUACAUUGCAGGAUUAUUGAUUCAUUCUUAUUUGCUGCAUUGCAGCACUCAGUCUGGUUGUUGGAAAAAAGCUAGAAAAUGACAGUUUCAGGCUGGGCAAGCAUAUUUUGUGUGGCACAUGUCACAUAAGCAAAUAAAUAAUUUUGAUACAAUACAAACAAAGCUAUACAUUUAAAAGGGUUUCAAUGCAUCAACAAAACUUACUUCUACACAUUGUGUUUGUUAUAACAAAUGAAUUAUAUAGUUUGUGGAACCCUAAUCUCUUUAUUUCCUUGGCCUCAUAGUGGUUGAAAUUAAGUUUCACAAAAAAAACCAACUAUUUUCAACAUAAUUAGGAUGCUACUGGCUAAGUUUUAAUAGUAUUUCACUUUCUGGCACAUAAUCAUCAACUAAAAACACUUUUCAUCUUAAGGGAUCAAAACUUUAAUUUGGCAUUAAAAUUAGAAAGAUCAUAUCAUGGGGAGCAUGUGUACUAAAUUUCAAAUUGAAUGGACUUCGAAUGAAUGAAUGAAUUUUAUUUCUCAUAAACAACAAAUUACAUAGUUACAGACAAUAUAUAAACAAUUACAUUAAAUAUUGAAGCACUUCAACUACAUCAAAAACUACCUUGACCAAAAACUUAACCUGAACUUUGCACUUUCAUUUUCUAUACUCAGUGGCCGGUGAAAUUGGGGUCAAAACUUUAAUUUGGAGUUAAAAUUUGAAAGAUUAUGUCAUUUGGGACCAGGGGUUUUAAGUUUCAAGUUGAUUGGACUUCAACUACACCAAAAACUACCUUGACCAAAAACUUAAACCUAAAGUGGGACAGACGGAUGAACAGACAAAUGGGCUAACAGACAAUAUACUUAACUUUUUUGUUUUAAAAGAUAAACACAAGCGGAGUUUGGGGACAAAAAAAACUGGAAUAUCAUCUCUACAUAUUAAGAGUAUUUAAAUUUGCGAAUGGACAAUUCCUUUGAAAUAAUUCAUUUUCAUGUUUUCAUUAUUUUAGUAAAACAAAAACAUCAUUUUGGAUGUUUAAAUUAUCUAAUUUAGAAUAUAUCAUUGGUGAGUUCUUCAAAUUGGCACAAAUGAUCUAUAGACCGGAUUUUAGUAAAAGAAAAAACACAUCAUUUUUGGCUGUAUAUUUAUCUUAUUUAAAAAUUUUCCAUUGGUGUUUUCUUCAAAUUGGCACAAAUAAUCUUGAUACAUUUUCAAGCCUAAUGUCAUUUUUAAAAAGAGGGGUUCAUGAACUCAUUUUCAAGUUAAAUCAGUCUGAAUGAUAAAAAUCAGUCAAAGAAGGAAUCUUUUCUUAAUAUGUAACUAUUUGAAAUGGCGAAAAGUAACAUUGGACAUUAGCAACAUCAUUACCUCCCCUGUUACUGUAUCAUAUGGCCUUGACAGCAAAACAUAUCAGCCUCCCUAUAGAUUUUGAGGAACCUUGGCUGUCAAAAAGUUACAGUAAGUUAAGUUAUCAUUUAAAGGUGCAUAAACUAAAAUUAUGCACCUUUGACUUAAAAAAAAUUGGCCCUUAUUUAUAACAAUACUUAAAGAUAUGCUGUAGUAAUUUAAAAAGAUCUACGUGUUUCUGUUUCUAGUGCAUCUUCAUCAGGAUAAAAACCACAGGCCAGUACAAAAUGGUGAAGUGAUAGUUUGCACGUCACAAUGUCAACAAGGGGAGUAAUUAUAAAUAGAAAAGGAGAGUUGGUAUGAAAUCAAACUUUAAUAAAAAGAAUGUUCAAUAAAAUUUGUUGAAUAAUGUUCCCAUACAGAAAUUGCUAACAAAAGCACAUAAGUUUCACAUGUGAAGCACAUGAGAUGCAAGUAAGAAUUAUAUGCAAAUCAGGUUGCUCGUAUGUGCAGUUUGGUAGUUCAUAUGUGCCCACUAAAAUCUAACAUAAUGCUCACGUGUGCAAUUCAAACCUCAGGUGAGCUUUUAUCAUCCAUGUUAGUUUUAUGUUAGUUUUGUACCUUGAAAAGUUUUUCCAUUCUUUCUAACCAUUUAAAACUAACCUACAUCAUUGCUCAUAUGAGCUUUUUCAAAAUGACAUGCCCAGUCAUGUACUUCCUGUAAAUUCAAAUUCAUGAAAAGCAUGCAAUAAUUGGAGGGAGAUGGAUAUGAAAAAUAUUAAGUCCUACAUUGUGCUAUUUGAAGAAAAUAACAUUGUUGAAAUCUGAUAAAACCAGUGUGGCUGUGGUUAAUUAUUUGUAAGUUAUAUCAUUUCUAUUUCAUUAUGUUCAUUUUUGUGUCAGAUUUUGAAAUAUAUUACAAUUUUAAGUCCUUUAUGGGAAUAUUAUAUAUGCAGGUUGCUUCAAAAUUAGUACUACAUGUAUGAAGAACAAAUGAUAUGAAAAUCAUAAUUAACUGACAAUAAUUAAAUAAUAACUCUUUUAACAUGAUGUAUCAGUUAUUUUAUUUUCAACUGAAUUAUAUAUUUAAGAUUUUCAUUUAAAUUUGAAAACUAUUCCUAUUUUGAAGCAGCCAUUUUGUUUUGGUCAACUAUAAUAUUCAUGUGUGCAACUGCUCAUAUGAGCAAUCUAAUAAAAUGUGCAUGUGAAACAAAAGCUCAUAUGAGCAGUUGCACGUAAGGUUUUUAACAUGCAAAUUAGUUAGUUUCAUAUGUUUUUUUUGCUCACAAAAUGCUCACCUAUUUUGCAUGUAAAAACUGUGUGCAAUCAUGUUAGUUUAACGUGAGCAUCAUAUGUGCAACUUAUGUGCAACAUGUUAGCACUUUUUGGUAAGGGUUUGAUCAAAUUUUGCAGAGGUACAUGCUUCCAAUUGGCUUCCCUCAGAGUUACAUGCUUCUAAUUGGGACCGCUCUGCCAGGGGUACUACUUCUAAUUAGUUUUUGCAGACACAGGUAUAUAUGUACUGCUUCCAAUCAGCUUCACAACAAGACAGAGGGUGUGCUCCCAAUUAGCUUCACUAAGAGGUACGUACUUCCAAUUGGCUUCGCUCAGACAACCAUACUACUUCCUGUGAUGUAAUGGUAUGGAUUUGCAAGUCUAUACUACUUCUAUUGUUGAAAUGGUACAUAAUUGCAAUUAACUGUCGUCCAAAUUUGCAGAACAUAUUUCAUUCAACAUUCUUGAUCCAGUUUACUAUCUAUUUUUUUGUAGAUUUUGCAUUUACAAAAAUUAUAGACCGUUGGACAAAGUGAAAACUGUAGGGCUCCCACAUCCUCACAAGGGAGUCCUUAUGAUGUCCCUUUUGAGAUAUUGAAUUUUUGAUGAAUCCUGUUUCUAUAAAAGUAGAAGAGUAUUUUAUAUCAAAACGAUAACUGAAAUAGCAAAUCUUUUCGAUUUGUUUGUAAUUACACCACUUUUAAUUGGCAGAGAAAACUAGUGUAUCUUUUUGGUUGGGAUUCAAUAGUGUAAAGAAAAGAAGUUCAAGCCUCAAAAGCCAACUUUCAGGAAAUCCAUUUUUUGAUACAUGACGGGAAGACUUAAAAUAAAAAUCCUCUUUUUGUCAAGUAAACAAAUACCAAUUUCUAGUAUGCAGCUAUAAACAUUGGAAAACUUUGAAUUCAUUCUAAAAUUAUUAAUCCUUUCACUGCUAGUACACUUUUUUUCUUUUUCUUUUUCCAGAUUUUCUUAUCUAAAGCUUACUAGGGAGUUGUUUAGAAAAAUAAAAAAAUGUGUAAUUUAUCAUGUCAAAUCUACAAUUUGAAUUUAAACUAAAAAUUAUCACAACUUUUUUCUUCAUUUAUUAAAAUCAAAUUUUUAAAGUAUAUAUGAGGUUCAUAAUUCAAAACUGUUCAAAGAAAUAAUAAGGGUUUCCUGUUUCACUUAAACUACUUCAUAACAAAAUAAUUUCUAAUAAAAUCUAUUUGGCGCAAUGAGUAGUUAUUCUAUUUUCAAAGAUAUCAUGAUUUUUCAAGACCACAAAUAUUCAUUAACUGAUAUGCUUACAGAGUCUGUUCUCAUGAAUUCAUUAACAAGAAAUUAAGAACCAAUGAUUCUACCCUAUUCUCUGGCAAUUUAACUUAAAAAAAAAAACCAAGAAUGUGUGCAUUGUACACAGAUGCCCAACUCACAAUAUAAUUUUCCAUGUUCAGUGGACCGUGAAAUUGGGAUCAAAACUUUAAUUUGGCAUUAAAAUUAGAAAGAUCAUAUCAUGGGGAGCAUAUGUACUAAAUUUCAAGUUGAAUGGACUUCAACUUCAUCAAAAACUACCUUGACCAAAAACUUUAGCCUGAACUUCCCCACUUUAUUUUCUAUGUUCAGUGGCCAGUGAAAUUGGGGUCAAAACUUUAAUUCGGCAUUAAAAUUUGAAAGAUUAGAUCAAUUGGGACUAGGGGCACUAAGUUUCAAGUUGAUUGGACUUCAACUACAUCAAAAACUACCUUGACCAAAAACUUAAACCUAAAGCGGGACAGACGGACGAACGGACGAACAGACAAACGAAUGAACAGACAAAUGGGCGAAUGGACACACAGACCAGAAAACAUAAUGCCCCUCUACUACAUAGGUGGGGCAUAAAAAUUAAUUUAUUGUAUUUUACAUUUAAAUAAAAUUUAUUGAAAAUAAAAAACCCAAAGUUUUUUAUUACUGUGCUUACAAGCUAUUUAUUCACCUAGUUAAUUCAAUUAGGUAAUAAUAAAUGUACCUUCAUGUGCUACUUUUAUAGACAAACAGGGUCAAAUUUUUAGACAUUUCCCUCUAAAGGAAAAAAUAUACUCAAUUUUUUUGUUUUAAAAGAAUAACACAAGUGGAGUUUUGGAAAGAAAAAAAAAAUUGAAUAUCAUCUCUACAUAUUAAAGAGUAUUUUGAGUUAAAUUUGUGUACUGACAAUUCUUUUGAAAUAAUUCAUUUUCAUGUUUUCAUUAUUUAGUAAAAUAAAAACGUCGUGUUUUUAUGUUUAAAUUAUUUAAUUUAAAAUAUAUCAUUGGUGAUUUC
This 7383-nucleotide long non-coding RNA is filed under the name Mytilus galloprovincialis (Mediterranean mussel). Lineage: Eukaryota; Metazoa; Mollusca; Bivalvia; Mytilida; Mytilidae. The record is from RNAcentral.